GAUGAAUGCUGGCGGCGUGCCUAACACAUGCAAGUCGAGCGGUAACAGGAGUAGUUUACUACUUGCUGACGAGCGGCGGACGGCUGAGUAACGCGUGGGAACGUGCCCCAAAGUGAGGAAUAACUGCCCGAAAGGGUAGCUAAUACCGCAUAUGAUCUUCGGAUUAAAGGAUUUAUCCGCUUUGGGAGCGGCCCGCGUACGACUAGGUAGUUGGUAGGGUAAUGGCCUACCAAGCCGACGAUCGUUAACUGGUCUUAGAGGAUGAUCAGUCAGACUGGAACUGAGACACGGUCCAGACUCCUACGGGAGGCAGCAGUGAGGAAUCUUCCACAAUGGGCGAAAGCCUGAUGGAGCAACGCCGCGUGCAGGAUGAAGGCCUUCGGGUUGUAAACUGCUUUUAUAAGUGAAGAAUAUGACGGUAACUUAUGAAUAAGCACCGGCUAACUACGUGCCAGCAGCCGCCGCG
This 466-nucleotide ribosomal RNA is filed under the name uncultured bacterium. RNAcentral's name for it is "partial 16S ribosomal RNA". It matches the Rfam family "Bacterial small subunit ribosomal RNA", at positions 28 to 522 of the family's 1533-position model. The record is from RNAcentral.